This 24-nucleotide microRNA is filed under the name Cordylochernes scorpioides. Lineage: Eukaryota; Metazoa; Arthropoda; Arachnida; Pseudoscorpiones; Chernetidae. The record is from RNAcentral.
GUCUAGUACAACAAGUUUGGGCCU